AUACUUACCUGGCAGGGGAGAUACCAUGAUCAAGAAGGUGUUUUUUUCCCAGGGCAAUCCUUACUCAUUGCACUCUGGAUGUGCGAUCUCCCCAAAUGUGGGAAAGUGAACUGCAAAAUUUGUGGUAAUGGGGACUGUAUUCUUGCUUUCUCCUA
This 155-nucleotide small nuclear RNA is filed under the name Neogale vison (American mink). RNAcentral describes it as "Neovison vison (American mink) U1 spliceosomal RNA (ENSNVIG00000003401.1)". It matches the Rfam family "U1 spliceosomal RNA". Rfam says of the family: U1 is a small nuclear RNA (snRNA) component of the spliceosome (involved in pre-mRNA splicing). Its 5' end forms complementary base pairs with the 5' splice junction, thus defining the 5' donor site of an intron. There are significant differences in sequence and secondary structure between metazoan and yeast U1 snRNAs, the latter being much longer (568 nucleotides as compared to 164 nucleotides in human). Lineage: Eukaryota; Metazoa; Chordata; Mammalia; Carnivora; Mustelidae. The record is from Rfam by way of RNAcentral.